UACGUAUGGUGCAAGCGUUAUCCGGAUUUACUGGGUGUAAAGGGAGCGCAGGCGGCACGGCAAGCCUGAUGUGAAAGCCCGCGGCCCAACCGCGGGACUGCAUUGGGAACUACCGGGCUGGAGUGCCGGAGAGGUAGGCGGAAUUCCUAGUGUAGCGGUGAAAUGCGUAGAUAUUAGGGGGAACACCAGUGGCGAAGGCGGCCUACUGGACGGUGACUGACGCUGAGGCUCGAAAGCGUGGGGAGCAAACAGG
This 253-nucleotide ribosomal RNA is filed under the name uncultured bacterium. Its description in RNAcentral is "partial 16S ribosomal RNA". It matches the Rfam family "Bacterial small subunit ribosomal RNA", at positions 524 to 776 of the family's 1533-position model. The record is from RNAcentral.